CCUACGGGUGGCAGCAGUAGGGAAUUUUCGGCAAUGGGGGGAACCCUGACCGAGCAACGCCGCGUGAACGAAGAAGUUAUUCGUAAUGUAAAGUUCUUUUAACAGGGCAGAAAGAGAACUUUGACGGUACCUGAAGACUAAGCUCCGGCUAACUACGUGCCAGCAGCAGCGGUCAUACGUAGGGAGCGAGCGUUCUCCGGAAUUAUUGGGCGUAAAGGGUGCGUAGAUGGCAUAGUAAGUCUUUUGUAAAUAUGCUGGGCUCAACCCAGUAGAGCAAAAGAUACUGCAAAGCUAGAUUAUGACAGAGGCAAGUGGAACUACAUGUGUAGCGGUAAAAUGCGUUAAUAUAUGUAAGAACACCAGUGGCGAAGGCGGCUUGCUGGGUCGAUACUGACAUUGAGGCACGAAAGCGUGGGGGGCAAACAGGAUUAGAUACCCGGGUAGUC
RNAcentral lists this ribosomal RNA (446 nucleotides) under uncultured bacterium. Its description in RNAcentral is "partial 16S ribosomal RNA". It matches the Rfam family "Bacterial small subunit ribosomal RNA", at positions 338 to 795 of the family's 1533-position model. The record is from RNAcentral.